GGGGGGGGGGGGGGGGGGGGGGGGGGGAGGGGGGGGGGGGGGCGGGGCGGGGAGCGGGGGCGGCUGACGUUGGCGGCGGACGGGGGGGUAACACGUGGCUCACCGACCGAUGAGACGGGGAUAACGUCGGGAGCCCGGAGCGCAUACCCGCACAUAUAUUACACCGCAGUGGUCAAUCGGCAAAGACGGUUCUGCGGUCCCGUAGAGAUGGAUCCGCGCCGCAUUAUCUAGUUGGUAAGGUAACGGCUUACCAAGGCGACGAUGCGUAGCCUACCUGAGAGGGUGAUGGGCCACACUGGAACUGAGACACGGUCCAGACUCCUACGGGAGGCAGCAGUAGGGAAUCGUCCGCAAUGGGCGCAAGCCUGACGGAGCAACGCCGCGUGAGUGAUGAAGGUCUUCGGAUCGUAAAACUCUGUUAUUAGGGAAGACCAAAUGUGUAAGUAACUAUGCACGUCUUGACGGUACCUACUCAGAAAGCCACGGCUAACUACGUG
RNAcentral lists this ribosomal RNA (497 nucleotides) under uncultured bacterium. RNAcentral describes it as "partial 16S ribosomal RNA". The stretch from base 54 to 497 matches the Rfam family "Bacterial small subunit ribosomal RNA", at positions 39 to 507 of the family's 1533-position model. The record is from RNAcentral.